AUGGAGCCCUACUCGAGGGACCUGCUGCGCGGCACCGGCGGUGGAGACGACGGCGAUGAGAAGGUGCAGCGCUUGGAUUCGCGGACCGAGGACGUGGACCUUACCCUCGGGCUGUCGCUCGGUGCCGGGGAUCGGUUCGACUUCGGCGCGGAGAGGGGGAGCGGCAGCGGCGAGGGGCUCCUCGUCGGUCGCGCUGAUCCAGGAGGUGGCGCCUCAGCGACCCUGCGGCCGCAGGGGAGUGGUAACAGCAUCAAGGAGGAGCCCGCGGCACAAGGAACUCCUGGCGCUCAAGGGCGGAGCCUGUCAUCAGCUAUUGUGUCCUCCUCUCAGGGUACAGAUGGUGUGCACCAGGCCGAGGGUGCUAACAACACCAUCAUGGCAACCACUUCUUCUCCGGCACCAGCGGUAAUAGAGGCAGCCCUUGGUUCUGGGGGAGGGCAACAAGAUGAUUCAGAGAUGUCGAAGGUGCGGGAGAUUCCAUUGGUGUCGACCAGCGGGCUCCCCAAUGGCAGGAGGAUUGUAGGCUUGCUGUACGAGUACAGUAAAGUUGAUGAGGUGACGAUUUUGUGUAUGUGCCAUGGUAGCUUCCUAACUCCGGCGGAGUUUGUGGAGCAUGCUGGAGGCGGUCAAGUCGCCAACCCGCUGGGGAGCAUCUUCGUCAUGCCCCCGCCUUGGCUUUGA
Molecule: ribosomal RNA, 681 nt
Filed under: Triticum aestivum (bread wheat)
Lineage: Eukaryota; Viridiplantae; Streptophyta; Magnoliopsida; Poales; Poaceae
Description: partial small subunit ribosomal RNA
Source: RNAcentral